ACGCUCGACACCUACGGGAGCAGCAGUGGGGAAUAUUGCACAAUGGGGGAAACCCUGAUGCAGCGACGCCGCGUGGAGGAAGAAGGUCUUCGGAUUGUAAACUCCUGUUGUUGGGGAAAAAGAGGAUGGUACCCAACAAGGAAGUGACGGCUAACUACGUGCAGCAGCCGCGGUAAUCUGAGGCGGGCUGGCAAGGC
This 197-nucleotide ribosomal RNA is filed under the name uncultured bacterium. Its description in RNAcentral is "partial 16S ribosomal RNA". It matches the Rfam family "Bacterial small subunit ribosomal RNA", at positions 328 to 539 of the family's 1533-position model. The record is from RNAcentral.